CGCAGGCUUUGUACAUUAUUCUCCGCACCAUGGGGACACGUUCAUUCAGUGGUACCUUCAGCUCUCGGAGUGCGUUGGAGACUGCGGCUUCUUCGUCUGAGUUAGAAGAGUAGAGUUCAAUUGAGGCCUCAGUCACACUCGUGCGGCUGAUGACGUCGUCCAAGUCUGAGAGUCGUUCGGAAUCGCAGGAGGUGACGCGUCUGAUCACCGCCUGGAUAUCGAUCAAGAGCUUGGUGGUGCAUAGCACCUCGUUUUCUGGAUCAGAAACGACGUCCACAAAAUCUGGGUUGACACAUACGUCACAGAGAGCGUCGCCCACCACUUCCCAAUAGUCACUGGCUAUUCUCAUGGCCAUGUUCAAUCUUGAUUAGUUUGAACAAGAAUAUAAGUAGAGAAACUAAGAAAGAUGAAGACUGAUUAACUGGAUAUUAUGCUCUCUCGUGGAUUCUACG
This 452-nucleotide long non-coding RNA is filed under the name Rosa chinensis. RNAcentral describes it as "sRNA RchiOBHm_Chr4g0412571". The record is from RNAcentral. Lineage: Eukaryota; Viridiplantae; Streptophyta; Magnoliopsida; Rosales; Rosaceae.